AUGAACGCUAGCUACAGGCUAACACAUGCAAGUCGAGGGGCAGCAGGAUUGUGCUGCACAGAUUGCUGGCGACCGGCGCACGGGUGAGUAACGCGUAUCCAACCUUCCCCAUAGUAGAGGAUAGCCCGGCGAAAGUCGGAUUAAUACUCUAUGUUGUACAACGAGGACAUCUGAAUUGUACCAAAGAUUUAUCGCUAUGGGAUGGGGAUGCGUCUGAUUAGGUAGUCGGCGGGGUAACGGCCCACCGAGCCGACGAUCAGUAGGGGUUCUGAGAGGAAGGUCCCCCACAUUGGUACUGAGACACGGACCAAACUCCUACGGGAGGCAGCAGUGAGGAAUAUUGGUCAAUGGGCGCGAGCCUGAACCAGCCAAGUAGCGUGCAGGAUGACUGCCCUAUGGGUUGUAAACUGCUUUUAUGCGGGAAUAAAGUCAGGUACGCGUACCUGUUUGUAUGUACCGCAUGAAUAAGGACCGGCUAAUUCCGUGCCAGCAGCAGC
RNAcentral lists this ribosomal RNA (497 nucleotides) under uncultured bacterium. RNAcentral's name for it is "bacterial SSU rRNA". It matches the Rfam family "Bacterial small subunit ribosomal RNA", at positions 29 to 518 of the family's 1533-position model. The record is from RNAcentral.